Molecule: transfer RNA, 73 nt
Filed under: Paraburkholderia unamae
Lineage: Bacteria; Pseudomonadati; Pseudomonadota; Betaproteobacteria; Burkholderiales; Burkholderiaceae
Also listed under: 14 other names
Description: tRNA-Lys
Rfam family: tRNA
About the family: Transfer RNA (tRNA) molecules are approximately 80 nucleotides in length.
Source: RNAcentral
GGGUCGUUAGCUCAGCUGGUAGAGCAGCGGACUUUUAAUCCGUUGGUCACUGGUUCGAAUCCAGUACGACCCA